Molecule: ribosomal RNA, 253 nt
Filed under: uncultured bacterium
Lineage: Bacteria
Description: partial 16S ribosomal RNA
Rfam family: Bacterial small subunit ribosomal RNA
Source: RNAcentral
UACGAAGGGUGCAAGCGUUGUUCGGAUUUAUUGGGCGUAAAGCGCGCGCAGGCGGGUUUGAAAGUCAGAUGUGAAAUCUCGGGGCUCAACUCCGAAACUGCGUCUGAAACUUCUUAUCUAGAAUCCUGGAGGGGGGAGGGGAAUUUCGCAUGUAGGGGUAAAAUCCGUAGAUAUGCGAAGGAACACCAGAGGCGAAGGCGCCUCCCUGGACAGGUAUUGACGCUGAGGUGCGAAAGCGUGGGGAUCAAACAGG